GGGACGCCUUUGCCGGCCUCAGAUAGGAGAUAGGAUGCCCGGAGUCCCUCCCCUGACCUCCCAGGGGCCCUGAGCCCCAGAAGGUACCCAGAAGGGACUCCAAAUCCUUCAUUCACAGCCCUUGGCUGUCUGGCAUAUUCAGCUCUGAGGCCCAGCCUAUUAGCCGGCAAGGGAGGUCCUACCAGGGAGGGCCCCAGGGGCGGCCGCUGACUUGGUCCCUGAGUGUGGAGUGAAGAGAAGAGGCUGGACCUUGGAGGCUGACAGCCACACACUCCCUUCCCCUCACAGCCGGGGCCGUAGCCGGGAGUCACCUCUCCUCAGCCACCCCAGAGACCAGAGCAAGGAUUGGUGGAAAGACCGCCAAGAAGAGUGUCCAGGAGCCUGGGAACUGAGACAGACCAGCCCUGCCCUGCCCUGCUCUGGGGAGCCCUCGACCAAUGGGGAAAGGCCCUCUUGGGGUUUUACCUACUUACCAGCCCACGGGGAUAUGAGGGCCAGGUCCUCUCAGGUCCCCCAUGAGGGCCCUCCUAUUCUUCAGUGGCCAUCAUGAGCUCUGAAUAGAACAGGCCCGUCAGCCACAUUCCAGCAGGAAGGCUCCACCACCCUGCAGAAGGGAUAGCCCCUGAGACCUCUCCCCAUUGAGUGUCCUUGGGGAGAAGAAGGCAAUGUGGUCUGAAGCUCUUUCUGGUCUGCUUCCUCCCACCCUCCAAUCUCGAUCCUUGCACCCUCUCUACACAAGGCCUCAGUGUUUCACUGAUAACAGGUUUGGCUUUUUCCUGCCUCAGGGUCUUUGCACAUGCUGUUCCAGCUGCCUGUCCUGAAUGUUCACAUGACUGAUUCUCCUCUUUACCUGUUCAUAACCCCCCCCCCAAAGUAGCCCUCCCAGUUACUUCAUGGUUUAUUUCCUACGUGACAGCAUCUCCAUUACA
Molecule: long non-coding RNA, 929 nt
Organism: Felis catus (domestic cat)
Lineage: Eukaryota; Metazoa; Chordata; Mammalia; Carnivora; Felidae
Exons: 2
Source: RefSeq, a predicted model, not a curated record